CCUUCUAUUGCGUCACACAUCGGGGGCUCUGGAGUCCGUUGCUCUCUAAAGGACCCCACAACAAGGUUUCAAUUUGGACAUGACAUCACCAGGAAGCCUUCUCAUGCAUAUGUCUGAAGAAGUGCCCCUCGAGGUGCCCACAGAUUCUUCCUGCAGUUUGUGAAACUGCUCAUCAUCCAGUUGCAUCAUCAAUCCCAGCAUGCACGUUGGCAUUGUUCUUCCUGUGGCAUCCCAGAACAGAGAUCUCUAAGGUUCUGUUUGGCCUUCCCCUCCAUUUUAUGGUCUCCAUGGCUCAAUGGCGAACACUUGUGUGGAGGAUACGCACUGUGGACCAUGGGUGGCUUCUCCUUACCAUCACGGGGUCAUUCACUGCCACUGCCCCGCAUCGCAAAGGGGGAUCAGGCUGUGCAUGCUAGCCUGGAAAAGAUCAGGAUUCUAAAUUCAAAGUCACAUCUAUACUGAAAACUUAUCACUUUCACACCAAGAACUUGUAAAGAAACUGCCAUGGUAUGGAGCAGAAGUUGGAGCAGAGGCUUCUGGAAAGCGAAGGACCCUUGGUGGAGGCAUCGAUCCUUGUUUGCAAAGGGAUGGGUGUUCCUAAAGCAUGCACGCUCGUGGGAGAGCUCCUGGAGACAAGGGUAAAUAAGGCACAAGACUUCAUGAGGGAGAUGCUCUUCAGGCAAGAGCAAAGUCUGCUCACAGACAGGCUGCCUUCAGGUGGGAACUCAGGUCGGUGGGACAGAGGUACAUCAAUUCAUAGUUCUGAGACUAGGAAAGUUAAAGGCUCCCUUGCAAUGUGCUAUCCUUCUUUUAAUGUAACUUCCUAUUAGCAAAGGGGUAGUGACAUUUGAGGAGGGAGAAGAAAGUGGAGUAAAAAUGGCAGACGGGCAAGAAGGCUGCAGAGCCGGACAUCCUUGAGAAAACUCAGUUGAGAUGCAGUCGGUCAGCAUGCUGGGUAUUUCUUCCCCACCUACCCUUGACCACUUGAGUAUAGAGCUUAGACCUGACUUAUAGGAUGGUUCUUCUCUGUAGACAUGGAGGGACCCAGUGCUUUCUGGCCCCACAUCACCGACACUUUCAUGGUCCUUGCAAAUUUUGGACUCGCCAACAGAGAAGUCUGUCUGGACACUGGCAGCAGACCCUUAGCACGUCCAUCCUUCGAGCUACCGCAACCUGAGGAACUAGAGGGGUGAGAUCGAAUGCUCACAGUCUUGGGGAGCAGCCUUCAUGGGCUCUCUGCCCUGCACCCCAGAACCAAGAACACAUUCCUGCUCUGCCGUUCUCUUCACAUCUCCCUUCAGAGUGACAGAGUAAG
Non-coding RNA from Peromyscus maniculatus bairdii (prairie deer mouse), 1315 nucleotides. The record is from RefSeq and is a predicted model, not a curated record. Lineage: Eukaryota; Metazoa; Chordata; Mammalia; Rodentia; Cricetidae.